AUUUAUGUAGUUUAACAAAAACAUUACAUUUUCACUGUAAAGUUAGAUUUCAUCUUUUAAAUA
RNAcentral lists this transfer RNA (63 nucleotides) under Drilonius striatulus. RNAcentral's name for it is "tRNA-Glu". It matches the Rfam family "tRNA". Rfam says of the family: Transfer RNA (tRNA) molecules are approximately 80 nucleotides in length. The record is from RNAcentral. Lineage: Eukaryota; Metazoa; Arthropoda; Insecta; Coleoptera; Omethidae.